AAGUCGUAACAAGGUCUCCGUAGGUGAACCUGCGGAGGGAUCAUUAACACGUUUUAAAACACGUUUUAACACCCACACCAACCAACCACGUGAACUAUUUAACAAUCCUGGAAAAGAGAGAAUUCUGUCUAUUUUCACACUAAUGAUGAGCUCUCGCAAGGGAGCGGUGUGUGUAGACUAGCAUUGCAGGUAACUGACUUUGUAAAGACCUUUCUUUUCUGGGCUAAAUGCCUCUCUCAUCACUGGGGCGAAAACACCACUUUCACUACUUCUAUAACCAUUGACUGUAUCUUUUUUUAAUUUUCUGCGCAAGCAGUGAAUUGAAAAAAUCAAUAAUCAAAUAUCUAAGCACAACUCUUAGCAACGGAUAUCUUGGUUCUC
RNAcentral lists this unclassified non-coding RNA (381 nucleotides) under fungal sp. Its description in RNAcentral is "partial internal transcribed spacer region". The stretch from base 1 to 46 matches the Rfam family "Eukaryotic small subunit ribosomal RNA", at positions 1786 to 1831 of the family's 1831-position model. Lineage: Eukaryota; Fungi. The record is from RNAcentral.